ACUCAAAUGAAUUGACGGGGGCCCGCACAAGCGGUGGAGCAUGUGGUUCAAUUCGACGCAACGCGAAGAACCUUACCCAGGCUCGAAAUGUAGUGGACAAGUAUGGAAACAUACUCUCUUACCUUCGGGUAAGUCGCUAUAUAGGUGCUGCAUGGCUGUCGUCAGCUCGUGUCGUGAGAUGUUGGGUUAAGUCCCGCAACGAGCGCAACCCUUGUCGUUAGUUACCAGCGGGUAAAGCCGGGGACUCUAACGAGACUGCCUGUGACAAACAGGAGGAAGGUGGGGAUGACGUCAAGUCCUCAUGGCCCUUACGUCUGGGGCUACACACGUGCUACAAUGGCCGGUACAGAGAGAAGCAAGACCGCGAGGUGGAGCAAAUCUUCAAAACCGGCCCCAGUUCGGAUUGGAGUCUGCAAUUCGACUCCAUGAAGUUGGAAUCGCUAGUAAUCGCGGAUCAGAACGCCGCGGUGAAUACGUUCCCGGGCCUUGUACACACCGCCCGU
This 503-nucleotide ribosomal RNA is filed under the name uncultured bacterium. Its description in RNAcentral is "partial 16S ribosomal RNA". It matches the Rfam family "Bacterial small subunit ribosomal RNA", at positions 899 to 1397 of the family's 1533-position model. The record is from RNAcentral.